UACGUAGGGCGCAAGCGUUGUCCGGAAUUAUUGGGCGUAAAGAGCUCGUAGGCGGUCUGUCGCGUCUGCCGUGAAAACCCGAGGCUUAACCUCUGGCUGGCGGUGGAUACGGGCAGACUAGAGGUAGGUAGGGGAGAAUGGAAUUCCCGGUGUAGCGGUGAAAUGCGCAGAUAUCGGGAGGAACACCGGUGGCGAAGGCGGUUCUCUGGGCCUUACCUGACGCUGAGGAGCGAAAGCGUGGGGAGCGAACAGG
Molecule: ribosomal RNA, 253 nt
Filed under: uncultured bacterium
Lineage: Bacteria
Description: partial 16S ribosomal RNA
Rfam family: Bacterial small subunit ribosomal RNA
Source: RNAcentral